RNAcentral lists this ribosomal RNA (206 nucleotides) under uncultured bacterium. RNAcentral's name for it is "partial 16S ribosomal RNA". It matches the Rfam family "Bacterial small subunit ribosomal RNA", at positions 568 to 773 of the family's 1533-position model. The record is from RNAcentral.
UGCGUAGGCGGCGCGGUAAGUCGGGUGUGAAAUCUCGGAGCUUAACUCCGAAACUGCAUUCGAUACUGCCGUGCUUGAGGACUGGAGAGGAGACUGGAAUUUACGGUGUAGCGGUGAAAUGCGUAGAUAUCGUAAGGAAGACCAGUGGCGAAGGCGGGUCUCUGGACAGUUCCUGACGCUGAGGCACGAAGGCAGGGGAGCGAAAC